UCUCCCGUGAGGGAGCAGUCUCGCCUGACACUAAUGUAACAGGCAACGGGGGUUGCGUUCGUUACCCCACUGAAGGGAACAGCUCAAGCCACGAACUGACGACGACCAUGCAUCACCUGUCCAGCACCCUCGAAGGCUCACUUCCUUUCGGAUGCGAUGCAGCUGGAUUUCUAACCCUGGUAAGGUUCUUCGUUUGUCAACGAAUUAAGCCGCAUGAUCCACCGCUUGUGCGAGUCCCCGUCUAUUCCUUUGAGUUUUAAGCUUGCGCUCGUACUACCCAGGCGGCUCGCUUACCGCGUUAGCUUAGUCCCGCAGAGGGUCGAUACUCCGCAGAACGAGCGAGCAGCGUUUAGGGCCAGGACUAC
Molecule: unclassified non-coding RNA, 365 nt
Filed under: uncultured bacterium
Lineage: Bacteria
Description: contains 16S-23S intergenic spacer region
Source: RNAcentral